GAGUUUGAACCUGGCUCAGGAUAAACGCUGGCGGCGCACAUAAGACAUGCAAGUCGAACGAACUUAAUUCGAAUGUUUACAUUUGGAAGCGGUUAGUGGCGGACUGGUGAGUAACACGUAAGCAACCUGCCUAUCAGAGGGGAAUAACAGUGAGAAAUCAUUGCUAAUACCGCAUAUGCUGUGAGUAUCGCAUGAUACAAACAGGAAAGGAGCAAUCCGCUGAUAGAUGGGCUUGCGUCUGAUUAGAUAGUUGGUGGGGUAAAGGCCUACCAAGUCGACGAUCAGUAGCCGGACUGAGAGGUUGAACGGCCACAUUGGGACUGAGAUACGGCCCAGACUCCUACGGGAGGCAGCAGUCGGGAAUAUUGCACAAUGGAGGAAACUCUGAUGCAGUGACGCCGCGUGCAGGAAGAAGGUUUUCGGAUUGUAAACUGCUUUAGAUGGGGAAGAAAAAAGACAGUACCCAUAGAAUAAGCUCCGGC
This 482-nucleotide ribosomal RNA is filed under the name uncultured bacterium. RNAcentral describes it as "bacterial SSU rRNA". It matches the Rfam family "Bacterial small subunit ribosomal RNA", at positions 9 to 497 of the family's 1533-position model. The record is from RNAcentral.